Molecule: ribosomal RNA, 369 nt
Filed under: uncultured eukaryote
Lineage: Eukaryota
Description: partial 18S ribosomal RNA
Rfam family: Eukaryotic small subunit ribosomal RNA
Source: RNAcentral
UAAUAGCGUAUAUUAAAGUUGUUGCAGUUAAAAAGCUCGUAGUCGGAUGUCGGGCUCGGGCAGGCUGUCGGCUUCGGUCGGACGGCAGGCUCGGGUCUUUCUGCCUGAGGAUCCAUCUCAUUCACUUGGGGUGGGGACGCAGGCCGUUUACUUUGAAAAAAUUAGAGUGUUCAAAGCAGGCCUACGCUUGAAUACAUUAGCAUGGAAUAAUGGAAUAGGACUUUGGUGCUAUUUUGUUGGUUUAUGGGACCGAAGUAAUGAUUAACAGGGACAGUUGGGGCCGUUUAUAUUUCGUUGUCAGAGGUGAAAUUCUUGGAUUUACGACAGAUAAACUUCUGCGAAAGCAUUCGGCAAGGAUGUUUUCAUUGA